UUCCUCAUUACUGUGGGUCGUGACCACCU
RNAcentral lists this small RNA (29 nucleotides) under Bombyx mori (domestic silkworm). RNAcentral describes it as "ovarian small RNA-9623". Lineage: Eukaryota; Metazoa; Arthropoda; Insecta; Lepidoptera; Bombycidae. The record is from RNAcentral.